This 731-nucleotide ribosomal RNA is filed under the name uncultured bacterium. RNAcentral's name for it is "bacterial SSU rRNA". It matches the Rfam family "Bacterial small subunit ribosomal RNA", at positions 771 to 1501 of the family's 1533-position model. The record is from RNAcentral.
AACAGGAUUAGAUACCCUGGUAGUCCACGCCGUAAACGAUGUCGACUUGGAGGUUGUGCCCUUGAGGCGUGGCUUCCGGAGCUAGCGCGUUAAGUCGACCGCCUGGGGAGUACGGCCGCAAGGUUAAAACUCAAAUGAAUUGACGGGGGCCCGCACAAGCGGUGGAGCAUGUGGUUUAAUUCGAUGCAACGCGAAGAACCUUACCUACUCCUGACAUCCAGAGAACUUAGCAGAGAUGCUUUGGUGCCUUCGGGAACUCUGAGACAGGUGCUGCAUGGCUGUCGUCAGCUCGUGUUGUGAAAUGUUGGGUUAAGUCCCGCAACGAGCGCAACCCUUAUCCUUUGUUGCCAGCGAGUCAUGUCGGGAACUCAAAGGAGACUGCCGGUGAUAAACCGGAGGAAGGUGGGGAUGACAUCAAGUCAUCAUGGCCCUUACGAGUAGGGCUACACACGUGCUACAAUGGCAUAUACAAAGAGAAGCGAACUCGCGAGAGCAAGCGGACCUCAUAAAGUAUGUCGUAGUCCGGAUUGGAGUCUGCAACUCGACUCCAUGAAGUCGGAAUCGCUAGUAAUCGUAGAUCAGAAUGCUACGGUGAAUACGUUCCCGGGCCUUGUACACGCCGCCCGUCACACCAUGGGAGUGGGUUGCAAAAGAAGUAGGUAGCUUAACCUUCGGGAGGGCGCUUACCACUUUGUGAUUCAUGACUGGGGUGAAGUCGUAACAAGGUAACC